This 438-nucleotide ribosomal RNA is filed under the name uncultured bacterium. Its description in RNAcentral is "bacterial SSU rRNA". It matches the Rfam family "Bacterial small subunit ribosomal RNA", at positions 958 to 1397 of the family's 1533-position model. The record is from RNAcentral.
AACGCGAAGAACCUUACCUGGGCUUGAACUGCACUUGACAAAGGUAGAAAUAUCUCUCCCGCAAGGGCAAGUGUAGAGGUGCUGCAUGGCUGUCGUCAGCUCGUGCCGUGAGAUGUUGGGUUAAGUCCCGCAACGAGCGCAACCCCUAUCACUAGUUACCAGCGGUCCGGCCGGGGACUCUAGUGAGACCGCCGAUAUUCAAAUCGGAGGAAGGUGGGGACGACGUCAAGUCAUCAUGGCCCUUAUGUCCAGGGCCACACACGUGCUACAAUGGUUGCUACAAAGCGUUGCGAACCCGCGAGGGGAAGCCAAUCGCAAAAAAGCAACCUCAGUACAGAUAAGAGUCUGCAACUCGACUCUUUGAAGUCGGAAUCGCUAGUAAUCGCUGAUCAGCAGGCAGCGGUGAAUACGUUCCCGGGCCUUGUACACACCGGCUAC